UUGGAGGGCAAGUCUGGUGCCAGCAGCCGCGGUAAUUCCAGCUCCAAUAGCGUAUAUUAAAGUUGUUGCAGUUAAAAAGCCCGUGGUUGAACUUCAGGCCUGGCUGGGUGGUCUGCCUAACGGCAUUGUACUGCUCGGCUGGGUCUUACCUCUUGGUGAGCCAGCAUGCCCUUCACUGGGUGUGUUGGGGAACCAGGACUUUUACCUUGAGAAAAUUAGAGUGUUCAAAGCAGGCAUUUGCUCGAAUACAUUAGCAUGGAAUAAUAGAAUAGGACGUGCGGUUCUAUUUUGUUGGUUUUUAGAGUCGCCGUAAUGAUUAAUAGGGAUAGUUGGGGGCAUUUGUAUUGCGUUGCUAGAGGUGAAAUUCUUGGAUUUACGCAAGACAAACUACUGCGAAAGCAUUUGCCAAGGAUGUUUUCAUUAAUCAAGGACGAAGGUUAGGGGAUCGAAAACGAUCAGAUACCGUUGUAGUCUUAACAGUAAACUAUGCCGACUAGGGAUCGGACGACCUCACAUUGAUGUGUCGUUCGGCGCCUUACGGGAAAC
This 546-nucleotide ribosomal RNA is filed under the name uncultured Basidiomycota. RNAcentral describes it as "SSU rRNA". It matches the Rfam family "Eukaryotic small subunit ribosomal RNA", at positions 548 to 1098 of the family's 1831-position model. The record is from RNAcentral. Lineage: Eukaryota; Fungi; Basidiomycota.